UUUUUGUCGAGCCUGCGACUUUUGUCGCAGAAAGCUCGACAUAGGGAUAGUGAUCCGGCGGCUACGGCGGCGGCGGCGGCGUUAGCUAACUUCUUAAAAGCUUUAUAUUUUAGAGGGUGGAAGAUCUGGAUGCUUCAUACUUUGUAUAUGGAUGCCUCAUGUUACGAAGUUUCCGUCAGUCACAUGUCCAAUGUCCUUGACCUCAUUUUCAUGGUUCAGUGACUACUUGAAAAAAAAGUUAAGAUUUUUUGUAAUGUUUAAUUCUCUCUUAUUAUAAGUAAUAGGAUAACUAUAUUUGGUAUGUGCGUACCUUGCAAGGUCCUCAUGCCCGUCAGACAGUUUUCACUUGACCUCGACCUCAUUUCAUGGAUCAGUGACCAAGGUAAAGUUUUGGUGGUCAAGUCCAUAUCUCAGAUACUAUAAGCAAUAGGUCUAGUAUAUUCGGUGUAUGGAAGGACUGUAAGGUGUACAUGUCCAACUGGCAGGUGUCAUCUGACCUUGACCUCAUUUUCAUGGUUCAGUGGUUAUAGUUAAGUUUUUGUGUUUUGGUCUGUUUUUCUUAUACUGUAUGCAAUAGGUCUACUAUAUUUGGUAUAUGGAAUGAUUGUAAGGUGUACAUGUCUAGCUGGCAGGUGUCAUCUGACCUUGACCUCAUUUUCAUGGUUCAGUGGUUAUAGUUAAGUUUUUGUGUUUUGGUCUGUUUUUCUUAUACUGUAUGCAAUAGGUCUACUAUAUUAGGUGUAUGGAAUGAUUGUAAGGUGUACAUGUCUAGCUGGCAGGUGUCAUCUGACCUUGACCUCAUUUUCAUGGUUCAGUGGUCAAAGUUAAGUUUUUGUGUUUUGGUCUGUUUUUCUUAUACUGUAUGCAAUAGUUCAACUAUAUUUGGUGUAUGGAAUGAUUGUAAGGUGUACAUGUCUAGCUGGUAGGUGUCAUCUGACCUUGACCUCAUUUUCAUGGUUCAGUGGUCAAAGUUAAGUUUUUGAGUUUUGGUCUUUUUUUCUAAUACUGUAUGCAAUAGGUCUACUAUAUUUGGUGUAUGGAAUGAUUGUAAGGUGUACAUGUCUAGCUGGCAGGUGUCAUCUGACCUUGACCUCAUUUUCAUGGUUCAGUGGUCAAAGUUAAGUUUUUGAGUUUUGGUCUUUUUUUCUAAUACUAUAUGCAAUAGUUCAACUAUAUUUGGUGUAUGGAAAUAAUUUAUGAUCUAUAUGUCAGUCAUGCAGGUUUUAUUUGACCUUGACCUCAUUUUCAAGGUUCAUUGCUCAGUGUUAAGUUUUUGUGUUUUUGUCUGUUUUUCUUAAACUAUGAGCAAUAGGUCAGCUAUAUUUGUUGUAUGGAAGAAUUGUUAGCUGUACAUGCCUGCCUAGCAUGGUUCAUCUGACCUUGACCUCAUUUUCAUGGUUCAUUGGUCAAUGUUUAGUUUACUUGGUUAAUGUUAAGUUUAUGUGACAGUUUUAAUAAAGCUUUAUAUUUAGGACUAUCAACAUAAUAUCAAUGAUUAGUAAAGAAGGCGAGACAUUUCAGCGUGUGCACUCUUGUUUUUAGAAGUUACUAUUUUAAUAAUGUUUAAUAAAGGUAAUUUAAUUAUAGCCAUGAUUAUGUAUGUGAAGGAAUUUUAUUUUUAGAUAUUACUAUUUAAUGUUGCUGAUGGAGGCUUUUUAAUUUUAGGCAUGAUUAUGAUGCCAUUUUCUAUUUUAAAAAUUAUUUAAUUUUAGCCAUGAUUAUGUAUGUGAAGGAAUUUUAUUUUUAGAUAUUACUAUUUGAUGUUGCUGAUGAAAGUGUUUUAAUUUUAGGCAUGAUUAUGAUGUCAUUUUCUAUUUUAAUACUUUUAUGAUGUAUUUAAAUGGGUUUUUAUGGUUGCAAAGUCCUAGCUGUCAAUUUAUUUUUAGAAGUUACUCUAAAUGCUGAUGAAGGAAUUUUAUUUUUAGAUAUUACUAUUAAAAGUAGCUGAUGAAGGGUUUUUAAUUUUAGCCAUGACUAUGAUGUCAUUUUCUUUUAUGAUGUAUUUAAAUGGGCUUUUAUGGUUAAAAAAAGCAUUUUUCUAGUUUCCAGACAGUAACUUGUGAUGAAGUGUAUGGAUCUCUCUAAAAUUGUACUACAAGGUUCCAUACUACAAAGGAAAGACUGCAAUUGAGUUUGAUGGUUAAUGCUAAAAGGGGGAUUCAAAAAGUUU
This is a long non-coding RNA of Mytilus californianus (California mussel), 2170 nucleotides long. RefSeq lists it as uncharacterized. The transcript is spliced from 3 exons. The record is from RefSeq and is a predicted model, not a curated record. NCBI's taxonomy places the organism in Eukaryota, Metazoa, Mollusca, Bivalvia, Mytilida, Mytilidae.